Molecule: ribosomal RNA, 468 nt
Filed under: uncultured bacterium
Lineage: Bacteria
Description: partial 16S ribosomal RNA
Rfam family: Bacterial small subunit ribosomal RNA
Source: RNAcentral
GACGAACGCUGGCGGCGUGCUUAACACAUGCAAGUCGAACGGAAAGGCACUUCUUGUUUGGCAUGCUCGAGUGGCGAACGGGUGAGUAACAUGUGAGUAACCUUCCCUUUACUUUUGGAUAACUUCAGGAAACUGUGGUUCAUACCGGAUUGGAGCUCCUGCAUCGUUUUUGUGUUUGGAAUGUUUCGGUGGAUGGUGAUUAACUCGCGGCUUAUCUGCUUGUUGGUGGGGUCGUGGCUUAACACGGCUUUGACGGGUAGCCGGCCUGAGAGGGUGACCGGGCACAGUGCGAGAGUGAUACGGGCCGCAGUAGUACGGGAGGCAGGAGUGGGGACUAAUGCACGAUGGGCGGAAGCCUGGUGCAGCAACGCCGCGCGCGGGAUUACGGCCUUCGGGUUGUAAACAGCUUUCGCCGGUAACUAAGGGUGAGUGACGGUAAUUGGUAAAGAAGCACCGGCUAACUACGUG